GAUGAACGCUGGCGGCGUGCCUAAUACAUGCAAGUCGAGCGAACCACUUCGGUGGUGAGCGGCGAACGGGUGAGUAACACGUAGGUGAUCUGCCCAUCAGACGGGGACAACGAUUGGAAACGAUCGCUAAUACCGGAUAGGACGAAAGUUUAAAGGUGCUUCUGGCACCGCUGAUGGAUGAGCCUGCGGCGCAUUAGCUAGUUGGUAGGGUAAAGGCCUACCAAGGCGACGAUUCGUAGCCGACCUGAGAGGGUGAACGGCCACACUGGGACUGAGAAACGGCCCAGACUCCGACGGGAGGCAGCAGUAGGGAAUCGUCGUCAAUGGGCGAAAGCCUGACCGAGCAACGCCGCGUGAAUGAUGAGGGCCUUCGGGUCGUAAAAUUCUGUUAUAAGGGAAGAACGACUUUAGUAGGAAAUGGCUAGAGUGUGACGGUACCUUAUGAGAAAGCCACGGCUAACUACGUGCCAGCCGCCGCAGUAA
This 483-nucleotide ribosomal RNA is filed under the name uncultured bacterium. Its description in RNAcentral is "partial 16S ribosomal RNA". It matches the Rfam family "Bacterial small subunit ribosomal RNA", at positions 28 to 523 of the family's 1533-position model. The record is from RNAcentral.